Molecule: ribosomal RNA, 479 nt
Filed under: uncultured bacterium
Lineage: Bacteria
Description: partial 16S ribosomal RNA
Rfam family: Bacterial small subunit ribosomal RNA
Source: RNAcentral
GAUGAACGCUGGCGGCGUGCUUAACACAUGCAAGUCGAGCGAGAAGUUUUGAAAAGAUUCUUCGGAUGAAAUUUAAAAUGGAAAGCGGCGGACGGGUGAGUAACGCGUAGGCAACCUGCCCCAUACAGAGGGAUAGCAUUUGGAAACGAAUAUUAAUACCUUAUGAAACUUAACUAGUGCAUGCUAGGUAGGUCAAAGAUUUAUCGGUAUGGGAUGGGCCUGCGUCUGAUUAGCUAGUUGGUGAGGUAACGGCUCACCAAGGCGACGAUCAGUAGCCGACCUGAGAGGGUGAACGGCCACAUUGGAACUGAGACACGGUCCAAACUCCUACGGGAGGCAGCAGUGGGGAAUAUUGCACAAUGGGGGAAACCCUGAUGCAGCAACGCCGCGUGAACGAUGAAGGCCUUUGGGUCGUAAAGUUCUGUUCUAGGUGAUGAAAACUGACAGUAACCUAGGAGAAAGCCCCGGCUAACUCCGUG